Molecule: long non-coding RNA, 3998 nt
Filed under: Linum usitatissimum (flax)
Lineage: Eukaryota; Viridiplantae; Streptophyta; Magnoliopsida; Malpighiales; Linaceae
Description: long non-coding RNA (LUSI_LNC008093)
Source: RNAcentral
GGCGCAUAAUUUAAUUUAAAUUAACAUAUAUCUAUCUAUUUCCAUGUUUAUCAAAAUCUAAACGGCCUCGAAACGUGGCAUAUUGCACACUGGUUGGGUUUCACCGAGAAACUAACCCUAGUUAGGUCUGCCUCCUCCUCCCCUCUCCACCCUAUAAAAUCAUACAAAACCCUCGCCUCAGCUCGCUCAUACUACAAUUCUGCGUGUCGUCCGAUAUUCUCCUUCCAAUUCUCCAAAUUCCAUUCCAAAGUAAACCUCAAAUAAUGGCUGAUGGUGAGUACAGGUGCUUCGUUGGUGGCCUCGCCUGGGCUACCACCGACGAUGCACUCUAUGAAGCUUUCAGAAGCUUUGGCGAUGUCACUGAUUCGAAGGUCCGUUUGUCACCUGUGAUCUCCCAGCGAUCGGAUCUCACCCGACUCCGCUAGGCUGUUUCGAUCCAGGAUCCCCCCCUCCCGAUCUCUUUGUGUUACUGUUACUGUGUUACUCUGUUCUCUCUCUGUGUUUUAUGUUACUGAUCUCUAAACUAUCGCCCCAAUCGGUACGUUUAUCUUCAUCCUUUGGGAGGAGAUUUCGUUCGAUUUUUUCUUUUGCUUCUUCAAUCAAUUGCUUAGUCAAUCUGAAUAUAAUAAUUCUGUUUGAAUCUGACGCGAUCCUGUGAAAUAUUUACGUUGGACCAGGUUAUCAACGAUCGCGAGACGGGGAGGUCCCGUGGAUUUGGAUUUGUGACUUUCCGCGACGAGAAGUCGAUGAGGGAUGCCAUCGAGGGGAUGAACGGCCAGAAUCUUGACGGUCGUAAUAUCACCGUUAAUGAGGCCCAGUCUCGUUCGGGCGGUGGUGGUGGUGGAGGUUACAACAGAGGCGGAGGUGGUGGCGGUGGAUAUGGAAGCGGUGGCGGUGGUGGAUACGGAAGCGGUGGUGGUGGCGGUGGAUACGGAGGUGGCAACCGGGGAUAUGGCGGUGGUGGCGGUGGUCGCGACCGUGAUGGAGGAUAUGGCGGUGGGUACGGUGGAGGCCGUGACCGUAGCUACGGUGGUGAUGGAGGGUCUGGGUACUCGAGGAGCGGUGGAGACUCGGGUGGAAACUGGAGGAAUUAGAUGGGAUCAAUAGCUUAGUUAGUGGGUGAGGAGUGGUUGUGGUUUUUGGAUUGUCGAAUGGGUUGGGCUAUGUUUUUGUCGAUGAGUCGAGUGUCGUGGGUUUUCUGGUUCCGUUGUGUGGAUCUUGCUAUCUAGUUCCUUGUCUCUUUGUUUUGCUUUGAUUGUGGUCUUUAAGUUCGUUUAUUGCUGCCCCUCCUGGGAUAAAAUGAUUAUGAUGUUUCGUUCGUUUAUGGUGGCACAAUAGCAGCAACAGGCAACAACAUUCACGCAAAUCUAGUAGGCUGAUACUCAAACUCCCAUCCCCCAAAUUGUAAGUUAGGGUUCAUGGAAUAUAAAUACGAAAUUUUGGCUAGCUCGAUUAAUGGUUCGAUUAGUGUAGUCUGCAAUUUAAUUUUAGAAAAAAUAGUUUGAAUAUUCUUAUUUCGUCCGAAAAAUAAAAAUAUGAUGGUGAAUAAUGUUAUCUUCACAACUAAAUAUCAUAUGUGUCGGAUGAGUUGGGUUUAUUUUAAAAUAUUGUAAGAUUUUUAUAAGUUUGUGAAUAUUAAGCUUGUGAUUUAACCGAUAACCUGCUCGUUAAAACUAGUCAAUAAACUUGUUAAGAGCUACAAAUAGCCGAGCUGAUCAAUUAUCACUUGUAUUGGAGCCUAUAAAUCCAACGAGCCGAGCUUUAGGGAACGAAGGGAUACAAUCGUAAUUUCAAGAGGUAAGAUAUUUUGUACGACGGAGAUGAAAAAAUCAGCGCAACCUUUCACCGUUUCACGUGCCUAUCGGUUUAUUCACAAACAAACAAAUCAGCAAAAUUGAUAAGGAAAACAAGUGGGUCGCACACUUAACCAACGUAGAUAUUUUUCUACUCAAUUUAGAAAGAAUAUCCCAACCAUGGUUAAGUCCAAUCUCGCCGGCCGGCCAUGCACCACCCUUUCAUUUUUGUAAUAUUAAUCUAUUAUUAUAACCGAUCUACCCUAUUUUUUAUAAUAAAAUGUCAUUUACCUGAAAAAUAAAAAUAUAUCCUAAUUUUUUUAUUCAAAGAUAAAAUACAUCUUUACGCGAAUAAGAAAAGGAAACACAUCGACAUAAUGGAAUAUAAAAGAGGUUAAAGGUGGGUAAGUGUCACUAAAUGGGCGAUGCAAUGAUCUAAACGAGGAAUAAACGUUAGAGUUAUCAAAGACGUGGACGAUUCAGUGAUUCAAACGAAGAGUAAUUGGCCACCCGAAUGUCGAAAGAUGGCCUCAAUUGAAUCAUAGAGAAUCAUCAAAAACUCCUGAAACAGAACGUCUGCUACAAAGAGAUAACGUUUAGUGGACUGUUAGCGUUAAUGGACCGACUAUAUGCGAGAUGGCACGAUCUGUUAUUGAGAUCAGCGACCCACAAGCACAAUUCACCACGGAGCUGAUACCUCUAUAACUGGGCAAAUCCGAUAUUUGACGAACUACGACAUCAAUAUUCACCGUUCAAAUGGAUUUAAUUGUUUUUUUCGAAAUGAUAGAAAAUAACAAAAUAAAUAAUUAAAUUGACCAAUUUAGAAAAAUUGAAAUUGUGGACGGAGAAUGGCAUCAGGACCGAUGCCGCACAUCGCGCAAAACCCACUCACCUCACUCAGAAACUAACCCUGGUUAGCACCUCCCUCCGCCCUAUAAAUUCAUACCAGAGCUACCUUGCAAUUCCAUCACAUCCUCAUCUUUCUCUUAACCUCCCUGAUUCAAAGCUUCACUCUACAACUAAAAGAUAUAUAAUGGCUGCUCCUGAUACCGAGUACAGGUGCUUCGUUGGUGGCCUUGCUUGGGCUACCACCGACGAUGCUCUCUAUGAAGCUUUCAGCACCCAUGGUCAAAUCGUCGAAUCGAAGGUCCGUUUGUCACCAGUGACUCCCAGGGAUUGGAUCUGACCUCCGACGCCACUCGGCUAUGUCGAUCCAGGAUCUGUUACUCUCUCCGAUCUGUUUCUGUUACUAUUCUGUGUUACUCUGUUCUCUCGUUGUUUUAUCAUGUUACUCUUCACUAAACUCUCACCCAAUCGGUACGUUCGUCUUCAUCCUUUGGGAGGAGACCGUUCGAUUUAAUUUUUUUUCAAUUCUAUAUGAUUUUCAUCGAUUAUCGUUCAAUUAUUACCAAUGGUUUCGAUCAUUUCCGUUGAUGUCUAACAGAUCCGCCAAAUUGUUAUGGCAUGUACAGAUCAUCAACGAUCGUGAAACCGGGAGGUCUCGUGGUUUCGGAUUCGUCACUUUCAGUGACGAGAAGUCGAUGAGGGAUGCCAUCGAGGGGAUGAAUGGCCAGAAUCUUGACGGGCGUAACAUUACCGUCAACGAGGCUCAGUCCCGCGGAGGUGGCGGCGGGGGAGGUGGUUUCCGCAGUGGCGGACCCCGCGGUGGUGGAUACGGAGGUGGCCAGCGUGGAUACGGCGGUGGCCAGCGUGAGGGUGGAUAUGGUGGAAGCCACGGUGGUGGUGAUGGCGGAUCUCGUUACUCUAGGGGUGGCGGUGACUCGGAAGGGAACUGGAGGAAUUAGAUUGGCCUAUUAGCUUUAGGGGAAGCUGGUUAUUGAAUGUUGUGCUGGUAUUUUAUGUUGAAUUAGGUUACGAGUGGUAUCCUGUUUGGUACGAUUGUGUUCCGUGCAUGUUAUGGUUAUGUUCACUGGUUCUGGUUCUUCUUCUUGUUCUGGUGGUCGUAUGCUUUGUCGCCCUUCUUAAUCCCUACUGAUGGGAUUGUAAGAAAAUGAAAUGAGAGACUACAGAGAUGAUCUUCAUUUUGCUAAUAUCAUCUGUUCGCUGUUCAUCCAUUGAUCUUCAGUCUCUGCUUAAUCAACUAAAUCAAAACACCGUGAACGCAGCCUUCACGUGUUCAAUUUCCUUGGGCCCCGGUCCACCAUCCACGGUGGCCUCCCCAAAGUACCUUCUAAAUAUAUCCAU